UACGUAGGCAGCGAGCGUUGUUCGGAAUUACUGGGCGUAAAGAGUGUGUAGGCGGUGUUCCAAGUCUGGUGUGAAAUCUCCCGGCUCAACUGGGAGGGUGCGCCGGAAACUGGAAUGCUAGAGGGUGGGAGAGGUAAGCGGAAUUCCUGGUGUAGCGGUGAAAUGCGUAGAUGUCAGGAGGAACACCUGUGGUGUAGACAGCUUACUGGACCACUUCUGACGCUGAGACACGAAAGCGUGGGUAGCAAACAGG
This 253-nucleotide ribosomal RNA is filed under the name uncultured bacterium. Its description in RNAcentral is "partial 16S ribosomal RNA". It matches the Rfam family "Bacterial small subunit ribosomal RNA", at positions 524 to 776 of the family's 1533-position model. The record is from RNAcentral.